UUGGUCCUCCCAUAAUCUGUCAGCCAUGGAUGGUUUGGCACACACCCACAUCUUCAAAUAGAAGCUGCUGAAUUGUGAGCCCAUUGAUCUCAAUCGUUUUGUCGUGGACCUCAGGACCAGGCAUCUACAAUAUUGGGCGCCUUUUUCCAACACACACCCAAGAGAGCGCAACAGUAAACGCUUGACCUAUCACCAGUGGUGCGCUCCUCCUACAAAAAGGCCCUUGGUUGGGCAUUCUUCCUACAGUCUCCCCAAAUA
Molecule: long non-coding RNA, 258 nt
Filed under: Dunaliella salina
Lineage: Eukaryota; Viridiplantae; Chlorophyta; Chlorophyceae; Chlamydomonadales; Dunaliellaceae
Description: long non-coding RNA (DSAL_LNC000129)
Source: RNAcentral